AAUUGAAAAUGAUAUGGAGAAAAUUAGCAUGGACUCUUCUCAAGGAUGACACUCCAACUUGUGAAGCAUUCCAUAUUUU
Molecule: small nuclear RNA, 79 nt
Filed under: Cervus elaphus hippelaphus
Lineage: Eukaryota; Metazoa; Chordata; Mammalia; Artiodactyla; Cervidae
Source: RNAcentral